This 494-nucleotide ribosomal RNA is filed under the name uncultured bacterium. RNAcentral describes it as "partial 16S ribosomal RNA". It matches the Rfam family "Bacterial small subunit ribosomal RNA", at positions 30 to 523 of the family's 1533-position model. The record is from RNAcentral.
AUUGAACGCUGGCGGAAUGCUUUACACAUGCAAGUCGAACGGUAGAGGGGCAACCCUUGAGAGUGGCGAACGGGUGAGUAAUGUAUCGGAACAUGCCCAGUCGUGGGGGAUAACGUAGCGAAAGUUACGCUAAUACCGCAUACGAUCUAUGGAUGAAAGCGGGGGAUCGCAAGACCUCGCGCGAUUGGAGUGGCCGAUAUCAGAUUAGGUAGUUGGUGGGGUAAAGGCCUACCAAGCCGACGAUCUGUAGCUGGUCUGAGAGGACGACCAGCCACACUGGGACUGAGACACGGCCCAGACUCCUACGGGAGGCAGCAGUGGGGAAUUUUGGACAAUGGGCGCAAGCCUGAUCCAGCCAUUCCGCGUGCAGGAAGAAGGCCUUCGGGUUGUAAACUGCUUUUGUACGGAACGAAACGCGCUGAGCUAAUACCUCGGCGUAAUGACGGUACCGUAAGAAUAAGCACCGGCUAACUACGUGCCAGCCGCCGCAGUAA